This 481-nucleotide ribosomal RNA is filed under the name uncultured bacterium. Its description in RNAcentral is "partial 16S ribosomal RNA". It matches the Rfam family "Bacterial small subunit ribosomal RNA", at positions 29 to 507 of the family's 1533-position model. The record is from RNAcentral.
AUGCACGCUGGCGGCGUGCCUAAUACAUGCAAGUCGCACGCUUCACUUCGGUGAAGAGUGGCGAACGGGUGAGUAAUACAUAAGUAACCUGGCAUCUACAGGGGGAUAACUGAUGGAAACGUCAGCUAAGACCGCAUAGGUGUAGAGAUCGCAUGAACUCUAUAUGAAAAGUGCUACGGGACUGGUAGAUGAUGGACUUAUGGCGCAUUAGCUUGUUGGUAGGGUAACGGCCUACCAAGGCGACGAUGCGUAGCCGACCUGAGAGGGUGACCGGCCACACUGGGACUGAGACACGGCCCAGACUCCUACGGGAGGCAGCAGUAGGGAAUUUUCGGCAAUGGGGGAAACCCUGACCGAGCAACGCCGCGUGAAGGAAGAAGUAAUUCGUUAUGUAAACUUCUGUCAUAGAGGAAGAACGGUGGAUAUAGGGAAUGAUAUCCAAGUGACGGUACUCUAUAAGAAAGCCACGGCUAACUACGUG